Non-coding RNA from Haplochromis burtoni (Burton's mouthbrooder), 72 nucleotides. NCBI's taxonomy places the organism in Eukaryota, Metazoa, Chordata, Actinopteri, Cichliformes, Cichlidae. The record is from the annotation of a RefSeq genome assembly.
GUCUUUCUAGUAUAAAUGCUAGUUCCUGUGACUUCCAAUCACCCGGUCUUGGUUAAAAUCCAAGGAAAGAUA